RNAcentral lists this ribosomal RNA (253 nucleotides) under uncultured bacterium. RNAcentral's name for it is "partial 16S ribosomal RNA". It matches the Rfam family "Bacterial small subunit ribosomal RNA", at positions 524 to 776 of the family's 1533-position model. The record is from RNAcentral.
UACGUAGGGUGCAAGCGUUAUCCGGAAUUAUUGGGCGUAAAGAGCUCGUAGGCGGUUUGUCGCGUCUGCUGUGAAAACUGGAGGCUCAACCUCCAGCCUGCAGUGGGUACGGGCAAACUAGAGUGCGGUAGGGGAGAUUGGAAUUCCUGGUGUAGCGGUGGAAUGCGCAGAUAUCAGGAAGAACACCCGUGGCGAAGGCGGCUCUCUGGAACGCAACUGACGCUGAGACGCGAAAGCGUGGGGAGCAAACAGG